This 425-nucleotide ribosomal RNA is filed under the name uncultured bacterium. RNAcentral describes it as "bacterial SSU rRNA". It matches the Rfam family "Bacterial small subunit ribosomal RNA", at positions 356 to 773 of the family's 1533-position model. The record is from RNAcentral.
GGGGAAUUUUGGACAAUGGGGGCAACCCUGAUCCAGCAAUGCCGCGUGAGUGAAGAAGGCCUUCGGGUUGUAAAGCUCUUUUGUCAGGGAAGAAACGACUCCUUCUAAUACAGGGGGUUAAUGACGGUACCUGAAGAAUAAGCACCGGCUAACUACGUGCCAGCAGCCGCGGUAAUACGUAGGUGGCAAGCGUUGUCCGGAUUUAUUGGGUUUAAAGGGUGCGUAGGCGGUCUUAUAAGUCAGUGCUGAAAUAUCUCGGCUUAACCGAGAGGGUGGCAUUGAUACUGUAGGACUUGAGUAAAGUUGAGGUUGGCGGAAUUGACGGUGUAGCGGUGAAAUGCUUAGAUAUCGUCAAGAACACCUAUAGUGAAGACAGCUAACUAAGCUUUAACUGACGCUGAGGCACGAAAGUGUGGGGAUCAAAC